This 596-nucleotide ribosomal RNA is filed under the name uncultured bacterium. RNAcentral describes it as "partial 16S ribosomal RNA". It matches the Rfam family "Bacterial small subunit ribosomal RNA", at positions 355 to 1375 of the family's 1533-position model. The record is from RNAcentral.
UGGGGAAUAUUGCACAAUGGGCGCAAGCCUGAUGCAGCCAUGCCGCGUGUGUGAAGAAGGCCUUCGGGUUGUAAAGCACUUUCAGCGAGGAGGAAGGUGGUGAGCUUAAUACGCUCAUCAAUUGACGUUACUCGCAGAAGAAGCACCGGCUAACUCCGUGCCAGCAGCCGCGGUAAUACGGAGGGUGCAAGCGUUAAUCGGAAUUACUGGGCGUAAAGCGCACGCAGGCGGUUUGUUAAGUCAGAUGUGAAAUCCCCGGGCUCAACCUGGGAACUGCAUUUGAAACUGGCAAGCUAGAGUCUCGUAGAGGGGGGUAGAAUUCCAGGUGUAGCGGUGAAAUGCGUAGAGAUCUGGAGGAAUACCGGUGGCGAAAGGCGGCCCCCUGGACGAAGACUGACGCUCAGGUGCGAAAAGCGUGGGGAGCAAAACAGGAUUAGAUACCCUGGUAGUCCACGCUGUAAAACGAUGUCGACUUUUGGAGGUUGUGCCCCUUGAGGCGUGGCUUCCGGAGCUAAACGCGUUAAAUCGACCGCCUGGGGAGUACGGCCGCAAGGUUAAAAACUUAAAAUGAAUUGACGGGGUCAUAGCUGUUUCCU